Populus euphratica (Euphrates poplar) is the source of this 1324-nucleotide long non-coding RNA. RefSeq lists it as uncharacterized. NCBI's taxonomy places the organism in Eukaryota, Viridiplantae, Streptophyta, Magnoliopsida, Malpighiales, Salicaceae. The record is from RefSeq and is a predicted model, not a curated record. The transcript is spliced from 2 exons.
CUUCUAAUUUUGCGAUUGCAGUGAUUGCCAUGCCAAGUUCUUUUUUCUUCUUUUUUUUUGUAUAGCCCUGAUAUGAAGUGGAAUGUCUUUAAACAUCCUUUCUACAGUAAUUAUUCCAUCCCGAAAUCAACCAGCCAUCUGUAAUAUAAGCACUGAAAAUUAAUCUGUUGAGCACAAUAUAAAGCCAGAUGGCCUAGGACAUUUACUAGAGUGGAGAUCUGAGAUGAGCUACAAAUAUUAUUAUCAAUGCGAUCGCGCCAUCUAUUCAGUUGGUUGAUGAGGCACCUUGAAUUCUUGGUGCAUUGCUAUUGUUUUAAGGAUCACUUUAUAUUUGUGAUAAAUGUGUGCAUAGGCAUUUCAUCUGCAUGUUUAAUUGAUACUACAGAACUUGAGGGACAAAGCUGCUGCAUAUGGAUCAUGUUGUUUUUAUCUUAUAUUAUUAUUUGGAUCAUAGUGGGAAUUUCAUCUAGUCUACGUGUUGGUUAGUGCUAUGUAUCUGUUCUAUGAAAUCUUGGUACAUUGCUAUUGUUUUAAGGAUGACUUUAUAUUUGUGAUAAAUAUGUGCAUAGGCAAUUUAUCUGCAUAUUCAAUUGAUGCUACAGAACUUGAGGGACAGAGCUGUUGUAUAUGGAUCAUGUUGUCUUUAUUUUAUAUUAUUAUUUGGAUCAUAGUGGGAAUUUCAUCUGGUCUACGUGUUGGUUAGUGCUAUUUAUUUGUUCUAUCGGUCUUGCUGAGCGGGAGACCUCUUGCUCAUUCUUAUCCUCAGCGUUGCUGCACUUACAUCAUAUGGUGUGCUGUUACAGGGAACUGUUCAGCUCCGUCCGAAGGCAUGCGAGAUAGAGGUCUUGGCAUAGUUAUGGAAGUGGAAGUUUGGUUACUAGUGGCACCCUAGCAUCAAAGCAUAUCCUUGAAAAAGGUUUUUCAUUUUUCAGUUCUCAUACAGGUGUUGCUCAUAGCAGCCCACAUGGAUCGAAGAACUAUAAGCUUCAUCAAAAUUCAGUCUAUAUAUGCUCUUCUAAUUUCAGUGAUCUUCUUUCGUUACCUGUUUUAUUUUAAUACCAGGUGAGCCUCCUCCUUUCGCAACCUCCAAGGAUGCCGCUGGGGUAGAACUUGAACAUGCGCUGGUUAAAUUCACAUCAGUAACAUGACAAACAUUGUUCAAAUUACUGUUUCCCUCGCCAUUAUUGCUUCAAGUUCAAGUUCUUUAAUUGUUUUAAAUAUUAAUUAUAAUAAGACAUUUACUGCACUAUGGUCUACCCGACAAGUGGGGAGGAACCUGCUCUGUCAUAGGUUUGCCUUACCUAAAUGAUCUGGCUUUUAACUU